UCGGGCGUGCCCCCCAUCUAAGUUCCCUGGAACGGGACGUCGGAGAGGGUGAGAAUCCCGUAUGUGACGGGGUGGCGCCGCCCGUGUGAAGCUCUUUCGACGAGUCGAGUUGUUUGGGAAUGCAGCUCAAAACGGGUGGUAAAUUUCAUCUAAAGCUAAAUACGGGCCAGAGACCGAUAGCGCACAAGUAGAGUGAUCGAAAGAUGAAAAGCACUUUGGAAAGAGAGUUAAACAGUACGUGAAAUUGUUGAAAGGGAAGCGCUGGCGACCAGACGUGCGCGCCGGUGAUCAUCUGGGGCUCGCCCCCGGUGCACUCGGCGGCGCGCAGGCCCGCAUCGGUUUGGGGGGCGGGACAAAGGCCCCUGGAAUGUGGCUCCCCCGGGAGUGUUAUAGCCAGGGGUAUCAUGCCGCCCCCCCGGACCGAGGACCGCGCUCCGGCUAGGAUGCGGGCGUAAUGGUCGUUAGCGACCCGUCUUGAAACACGGACCAAGGAGUCUAACAUCUAUGCGAGUGUUUGGGUGGCAAACCCACACGCGGAAUGAAAGUGAACGGAGGUGAGAGCCCGUACGGGCGCAUCAUCGACCGGUCCUGAUGUCUUCGGAUGGAUCUGAGUAAGAGCAUAGCUGUUGGGACCCGAAAGAUGGUGAACUAUGCCUGAAUAGGGUGAAGCCAGAGGAAACUCUGGUGGAGGCUCGCAGCGGUUCUGACGUGCAAAUCGAUCGUCAAAUUUGGGUAUAGGGGCGAAAGACUAAUCGAACCAUCU
This 763-nucleotide ribosomal RNA is filed under the name Cyttaria darwinii. RNAcentral describes it as "eukaryotic LSU rRNA". It matches the Rfam family "Eukaryotic large subunit ribosomal RNA", at positions 164 to 945 of the family's 3401-position model. Lineage: Eukaryota; Fungi; Ascomycota; Leotiomycetes; Helotiales; Cyttariaceae. The record is from RNAcentral.